GUCCACGCCGUAAACGAUGGGUACUAGGUGUUGUGGGAAUUGACCCCCACAGUGCCGCAGCUAACGCAUUAAGUACCCCGCCUGGGAAGUACGGUCGCAAGAUUAAAACUCAAAGGAAUUGACGGGGGCCCGCACAAGCGGUGGAGCAUGGGUUUAAUUCGAUGCAACGCGAAGAACCUUACCUGGGUUAGACAACACAGGACAGCCGUAGAGAUACGGUUCCCCUUCGGGGGCCUGUGGUUUAGGUGCUGCAUGGCUGUCGU
RNAcentral lists this ribosomal RNA (263 nucleotides) under uncultured bacterium. RNAcentral describes it as "partial 16S ribosomal RNA". It matches the Rfam family "Bacterial small subunit ribosomal RNA", at positions 793 to 1055 of the family's 1533-position model. The record is from RNAcentral.